This 1254-nucleotide long non-coding RNA is filed under the name Homo sapiens (human). RNAcentral describes it as "LHRI_LNC585.8". The record is from RNAcentral. Lineage: Eukaryota; Metazoa; Chordata; Mammalia; Primates; Hominidae.
CCUUUCUGCCCUCUGCCAUGUGAGGUCACAGUGUUCCUCCCUCCUGAGGAUGCAGUGUUCAUGAAAGCAAACACUGGGCCCUCACCAGGCAACAAACCUGCUGGUGCCUUCAUCUUGGACUUCCCAGCCUUCGGAACUGUUAAGAAGCUCCACUGCGCUUUGUCCAUUGCAAGUUGAGAAGUGAGGCCCCAGCUGUCACAUACAGUGAGUGAAGAAGCUGAGCUUCCCUCAACGCCUGGGCCUGUAUGAAUUUUUUUUUUUUUUUUUUUUUUGGAGACGGAGUCUCACUUUGUUGCCCAGGCUGGAGUGCAAUGGCACUAUCUCAGGCCACUGCAACCUCUGCCUCCCAGGUUCAAGCGAUUCUUCUGCCUCAGCCUCCUGAGUAGCUGGGAUUACAGAAGUGCACCAUUACAGCUUGCUAAUUUUUGUAUUUUUAGUAGAGAAGGGUUUUCACCAUGUUGGCCAGGUUGGUCUCGAACUCUUGGCCUCAGGUGAUCCGCCCGCACAGCCUCCCAAAGUGUUGGGAUUACAGGCGUGAGCCACUGCGCCCGGCCUUAGGCUCCAUCACAAGAGGGAGCCCCAUUGCUAGUCCCCAUCCUCAAAGCCUCUGCGUGAUGUUGUCUACUGUUACUCUUCACUACCCUGUGGGAGCCAAAGCCCUGGACAUAAGAACAGAAGGCAAUGGUGGCUGAGAGGAAGAACUGACACCUUUGUGCUAUCAGAGCACUUUGCAGAGGAGCUGUUAGUGGCCCUGUAGGAGUCUGCUGGCCAUACAUCUGGGUGUCAAAUCAAGAGAGCAUGAGAAGUUGGACAGGAAAGGUCCAAGGCAAAAUGGUUACUAAAGGCCAUCCCUGAUCCUGACCCUAAAAGAAGAAAAGGCCCUUUGCUCUUGGCAUGCUUUUGCAGGAGUGUCUCAGUCUGUUUGGGCUGCUAUAACAUUGACUGGGUGAUCUGCCUGCCUGGCCUCCCAAAGUGCUGGGGUUACAGGUGUGAGCCGCUGCACCAGGCCUUGAGGUCAGGAGUUCGAGACCAGCCUGGCCAACAUGGUGAAACCUGUCUUUACUAAAAAUACAGAAAUUAGCCAGGCAUGGAGGCGCAUGCCUGUAAUCCCAGCUACUGGGGAGGCUGAGGCAGGAGAAUCGCUUGAACCCAGAAGGUGGAGGUUGCGGUGAGCCCAGAUAGUGCCAUUGCACUCUAGCCUGGCCAACAAGAGUGAAACUCUGUCUCAAAAAAUAAAUAAACAAACAAACAAAC